GACGAACGCUGGCGGCGUGCUUAACACAUGCAAGUCGAACGGAAAGGCCCUUCGGGGUACUCGAGUGGCGAACGGGUGCGUAACACGUGGGUGAUCUGCCCUGCACUUUGGGAUAAGCCUGGGAAACUGGGUCUAAUACCGAAUAGGACCACGCGCUUCAUGGUGUGUGGUGGAAAGCUUUUGCGGUGUGGGAUGGGCCCGCGGCCUAUCAGCUUGUUGGUGGGGUAAUGGCCUACCAAGGCGACGACGGGUAGCCGGCCUGAGAGGGUGACCGGCCACAAUGGGACUGAGAUACGGCCCAGACUCCUACGGGAGGCAGCAGUGGGGAAUAUUGCACAAUGGGCGCAAGCCUGAUGCAGCGACGCCGCGUGAGGGAUGACGGCCUUCGGGUUGUAAACCUCUUUCAAUAGGGACGAAGCGCAAGUGACGGUACCUAUAGAAGAAGCACCGGCCAACUACGUG
Molecule: ribosomal RNA, 462 nt
Filed under: uncultured bacterium
Lineage: Bacteria
Description: partial 16S ribosomal RNA
Rfam family: Bacterial small subunit ribosomal RNA
Source: RNAcentral